UCAACAUCACCUGGAAUGUUUUACAAAUACAAAUUCAUGAGCCCUGCCAGAUGAGUCAGAAUCUCUGAGGAUGGGGCUCUCAGGAGUAAUUGUUUUAAAAAUCUCUCCAGGUGAUUCUUAUGUACCUAAAGUUUAAGAAGCCUUCGUCUAGCAGACAUUUUCCUUUAAGAAAGCACUCUGAAGACGUGCAUGCUUCUCUAUCAAGGAGAAAACCAAAUGAAAUGAGCAGAUUAAAAGGCAAGACUCCUGGUGGAAAGUAGAUGGGCAAACAUGCUAGAAACAUUGUGAGGUGUGAGAAGGAGGAUAAAAAACCAGAUAGGAGGAGCACCAUGGUUCUCCAAGGAAUAACAUGGAAAAACGUGAACACAGGAAUGCAAACUCAAAGGAGGACUGAAGGAAGUUCGCCUGGAACCAGAAGUUCCAAGAAAUGGCAGAAGUACUGAGGAUGUAAGCAUCUUCCACACUGAGGAGAGAAUGGCCGUUCCACUCAUGAGGGGGAUGAAAAUGGAAAAGAUGUAAGCAUUAUGAAGUUAAAAGGGCAAAUGACCUCCUAGAAUAAAGAAAACAUGUCCCUUGCGGCUGACCAUGGACAUAUAAGUAAAUUCCAGUCAGAAGAGUAGAGUGAAGAUGUUAUAUAGUUGAUCUGGGGGACUUUCCGUUGGUGACUCAGUUCUGUGGUGUGACUUUCAGAUCCAUUCUCAAAACUACAAUUUAUUAGUCAACUUUUGCUCAAAAUUUUAUUUGUUUAUGACAUGGCUUUCUUUCUCUCCUGGGCUUGUGAGUUGGCUGUGGCAGCUCUAUUUCAGGCUGCAGAUCAGGAUCAAUUAUGCUUCAUAGACCUAUCAUUCUGAGAUGCAGGCUGAAGUAGCAGCAACUUCCUAGGGCAUGCUCUUCUCACGAUGGAUGGCAGGAGCACAAGAGAGUGAGUGGAAAUGCAGGAUUCUUAAAGCAUCUACUCAGAAUGGGUGUAGUGUCACAUUCACUUGGUCAAAUACUCUUUGAGCGUCUGACAUAUACUCUGUUCUAUUGGGAGACACCUCAAUGUCACAUGACAGAGAGCUUGGAUGUACAACCCAGUAACAUAGAGGGAGCAAAGAGUUGGCAAUAGUAAUCCAAUCUACCACACUCAGAUUAUGUUCUGUUUCUAAAAAUUCCCAAGGAUAUUAUAAGCCAUUGAAUUUCCUAUAAAAAAUUCCUAUCUCACUUUAUCUUGAAUGGCUUCUGUUCUCUGCAGAUAAAUUCUGACUGAAAUUUUCCAGAACAUUUUAUUUUUUAACUCAUCUACAAUUUUUCUGGUGCAAGAUCAGAAAGAAGAGUGUUCAUCUGCCAUUUCUACCACUAAACAUGUUCUUCACCUCUACUCUGUGAAGCAACAUGCUCUUCCACUAUGGGCUUUGAGUGGGAUAGCCAUCCUACCAUGGGCAGAACAUGUGAUAUCAUCUUAAUCAAACAAGAAUGGAUAGGUAUUGAAAUACAGUGGAGUUGGGGUAAUCGUAUGGAUCCCAUAGAGAUUAGAAACUAUGAAUGCGGGGCCGGCCCGUGGCCGAGUGGUUAAGUUUGUGCACUCUGCUUCAGUGCCCCAGGGUUCGGAUCCUGGGCGCAGACAUGGCACCGCUCACUAGGCCAUGUUGAGGCGACAUCGCACAUGCCGCAACUAGAAGGACCCAUUACUAAAAUAUACAACUAUGCACGGGGGGGAUUUGGGGAGAAAAAAAAAAGAAACUAUGAAUGCCCCAGGAAAGAAUAAAACUGAUAGAAUGAUGAAGACUAAAGAUUCAGUGUGCUGUUCUGAAUAUGAGCAGCUAUUUACAGUGAACACGGUAAAUGGGAAUAGCUUAGAGUUAGCAGUAGAUCUAGGCUAGUUGGUAACAAUGGAUAUGCUUACUGAUAAAUGUUUGCCUUCUGAGAAAACCUGCUGAGGAAAAUUUAUGGGUAGAUACGCAUGUGGGCAUUUAUAUGUGUACCCCUUCUUCUUUGUAGAAAGGAAUUGGAUUUGUUUUCCAGAAUUAUUGCUUUUGAUUACUUCUGCAAAACUCCUCAGAUAUGUAGGGGACUUUUGGAAGGGGCAGGAAAAGGUGAGUGGAAGGGAGAACAAAGAAAAGUCACAGGGUAGAAAUAGAUUCACUUCAAUUCGGAUUGUUGUGUAUGGUGGAAAUAAAAUUCAGGAGUUAUUUCUCCACAUUCAGUUUAGGAAGAGUGAUUUUCUCCUCCAAAAGUUCUGAUUUGUCUUAUAUCAACUUUGCCUAUUCUUUACUUAGUAUUGCAUUUUCCCCUUGUACUCACUGUUUACCCACUUUGAAGGAACUCAAUAUGAUUUCCAAUCAAAAUUAUAUGAGACUCUUCCAGGCAUAACUUGUAACACAGUGUGAAAUACCUUUAGGAAGGAACCUCUGGCAUACACGUCUGCUCUCAAACACAUAUAUGUGUGUUCCUAAAAGCAUAAAGGAUGACUGGAAUAAGAUUUUAUUCAGUUAUACAAAUAAUCAAUGUCAAUAUCAGCUGCAUUGUUCCUGUAGCUAAUUCCACUCCAGCAAUUAUCCACAUGAAACUCUUCUUUGUUCUUUAUGGUGGUCAAUAUAUCCAUAAUCAAUUUAAAUUUAUUAGAUUAAAUAACAUUAUUUAGGAAAACUAAAUUCUGUGUGUAUCCAGUUCCGAGAUAUCAGUGUAUCUUUGAAAGUUGUAGAAAAUGUUAUUGCUUCUUAUUAUGUGGAGACUUGACUAGUAAGACAGCAGAGCUCUCCACUCACCAAGAGAGCUAAAGGAUAUGGGUUGGGUUAAAUACGUAGAAAGAGAAAAGAGGAGACAGUUAUAGUGUUUCUGAGAAGUACUGUACACUAGGAGGAUCAGAGGACAAAUAAAAAAUGUUACAAGAGUCGUGAAGAAACAGUUUAGGGUCAUUAAAUCCAGGAUCUAAGAGAUGGAGUAGCAGAACCUAAAGCCAUUAGGCUAAGAGAAUAAGGACCAAUGAGCUGGAACUCAGGCACAUUGUCUUGUAGCAAAGGUAAAAAUGGAAACUCUGGCUGAAUAGGCAGAAUCUGGAAACUAGAUCGGAAUAACAAUCCUUACACACAAACUGCAAGUAAUACAUUUGACUUCGUAAUUAUUAAAGAAAAAGGACUAAUUUUCAUACAUUUCAAGUGGAAAUUAGUCUUAUUACGUUAAAAUUCCUUCCCAGACUAGGAACUGGUCCCAAAGAAUACGUUACCCCUAGGCCAUGAGUUGAAACAGAUAGACAGGCUAGAGUCAGGACCCUGCCCUCAUCUUCUCUAGUUUGCAUUUGUAACUUCUAUGUGUAUGCUUCCUGAUCUCUAACUCAAAUACCACUAUGGCAGGGUUUAAAUUAAUUUUUGAAUACCUCUGUGUUCAGAAUUUUGCUAUUUCAAAUAUUACUUGAAAAUAGAGGUUCAGAUUAGGACUUUACAUUUCACGAUACUUAGAAAAGCUUUUAGAAAGCGUUAUUGCACCAAAAUGUUACAUAACUAUACUUUUUCUCCAGUGAAGCUCUAUGUUUAUCUCCAGACUCAAAGUCAUUUGUCCCCAUUCAUAUGUGUGUAAUUAAUACACAUUAAACCCCUUAAAGUCCAUUCAUUCAGUGGCUUAAUAUUUGCCUUCUGUUUUCAUGCAUUUUAUUUUUCUGGUCUUAGGCUAUAUACUAUUUAAAUUUAUCACCUUCUGAAUGUCAAUCAGCAAGUCAAUAAAGAACCCACACACUUCUAUUAAGACUAUCCCCUACAGGAUUGUAUGUCUCCAUCAGCAGGAGUCAAUUAGAGACUUAGAAUUCUGCAUGCUCCUGGCAAGAAUUCCCCGCUUCUUAUUCCCCAUAGAAAUCAGAAAUUUUUCUGUCUUGGGAAAGUCAACAAUGAUCUCUCCAUACCCUUUAUCUUGUUCUUGGAAGACACCAUAGGAAUCUCUGGUCACCUGAUAAUUGGAAGCUGUAAACAGCUCUGUUCUCACCCUAUACCACGCCCUGAAUUAGUCAGUCUUACCACAAAACAGAAUGCCACUCUGAUGGUUCAACUGAAGAGAUUUAAUGAAGAGGCAAUUUACAGAGGUCUGAGUUAGAGCUAAGGCAACCAACAGAUAUUUGAUGUACCUAGAGAUAAACAACAAAAAGAAAUGAUUAUCAUAAGGACAAUGGGAGAAAGAGUGUUUAAGGAGGUCAGUGAAAGCUGGAGCAGUGAAGGAGGAUCAUCAGGAGCUAUAUUGAUGUUGAGGAGCAGACAUUGUGAGAACAAUGGCCUGAAGCAAGGAGAAAGUGAGAAGGAAAAGAAUGGAUAUCCCUAUCCUCUCUUUCCUCCCACCAUCCAGUCUCCUAACAGUGCCACCUCUUGUCCAAACUCAAACAAAUGUUGACCAAUAAGGAAGCCAGGUGAUGUGGUCCAUAGAAGUCAGAUUCCUGGGGAAUACAGCAGAGAAAAGAAGAGGAGGAGAAUGAAUUUUGGGGGGUUGAUAGCAAAAUCAACUUUACUUUUUCCUACCUACUGAAAUCAUUUUGUCUUAUCCAGCACACCUCGAGGUCAAUUAUCAGCAAAAUUUCCUAUAUUCUCAAACUUUGCUCAAAAAAUUUCCUUCUUCUUACUCAAACUGAAACUCGGAAUUCUUCCCAAAAAUCUGCUUCCCAUGACAACCUCAUAAGUGGUGCCUGUUUUCUUCCUAUAUUCCUAUACUCCUCUUAUCUACAAGUGGGGUUGCUCUUCAUUGCUGCUUCCAAAAACAUUCUCCUUCUCUCUUUAAGUACCCCAACAUUUGAAUCUCAUGCCAGUAGGAUGUAAUACCCACUAUUCCUUAUUGCAGCCAUCCAUAGCUCUUUAAGCUCACAUCUGUUAUUUUACGAAUAUGUGAGCUCCUGAUUCACUGACAUUUUCUGAUAUACUACUCCUUUUAUAAUUAUAGCUGAUAGCUGAUUCCAAUAUCCAUUUUGAUGACUGUUCAAAUAUUUAGCUAUUAGUUUCUUACCUUUCUUUUAUCCAAUGAUCUUGUCUUCCAUCAUACCUUAGUCACAAGAUAAUGGCCAUAGAAUUUGUUACUACUGGUAAACAUAAUCUCUUCAGAACUCCAGUUCAAGCCUCCUGCCCUUCAACUACCACCUGCUUUCUUUCAACUUACUCCCUCAACUCAACCACCACUGUACCUUCAAUCCAUUGAUUCUAUAAUCUUGUUUUCACUCUCAUGUCCCUCUUGUCCUCACUUUCUUUUUAGCCCAACUUAAAUUCUAUGCUCAGUCAUCAUUAUUCCUUCCUUACAUAGAUCCUCAAAUCUCUUGCCCUUCUCUCACUAAGUCAUACUUUCUUGGACCCACCACAGCUGAUUAAUUCCACUUUUCUGCGUAGUCCUUGAUGGCAUCUACAUAGUUAAACAGUGCUGGAACAAACCACAUGCCAUUGUAUUUAGGCCCUCCUAAAUUCAUUGUCACUCACUUUAUGUUAUCCUAAUGUUAUCCAGAAAUCACACAAAAUUUUCCUAGUCUGUUCUCUCCUAGGAUACUAGUUUAUAAUUUUUUCUUUCUCUUCACAUUCCCAGCACCUCCUUUUCCAUUAUCAUCCUCAGCUGGUGAUGUUGUAUUCCAUUUUACUAAAAUAAUAAUAAUAAUAAAGCAAUCAGAAGAAAACACAAGUUUCCACCACCACAUCUACCCACUUGCCUUUAUCUGUGUGUAUAUGCUCUAGAAUGUCUAUGAAUGACCUGUUGAUAUACCUAGAUAAGGCCAAAUCUUCCACUAAUGAACUAUAUCCCUUCUCCACUGAGUCAAGCACUUUGUCCCAGCAAGACUGCUCUUUUUCUCCUGAAUCUUUUCUCCUGAAGCCGUUCCAUCUACCAGAUCAUUUCCAUCUGCAUGAAAACAGGCUAUCAUUCCUCCUGAGGUUGACCUCACUUCUAGCUUCAGCUACCACCACAUUUUCUUCCUUCCCACUACAGCAAAAUUCCUUGGUUUCUUUUCCUUUUUAACACUGCUGUCUCCAACUUUUCUUCUUUCAAUCUCUCUGGAACCCUCCAUGUUUCAACCACUGCAAACUUCUUGCAUCAAGGUCACUAAAAAGCUCCAUUGAUAAAUCCAAUGGCAAGUUCUUGAUAUUCAUACUAUUUGCUCUAUCAGUAGCUCUUUACAGAGUGAGUCACUCUCAUUCCUGAAAUGCUUUUUUCCCCACUUAACUUCUAGGACAUCACACACAUCCGUUUUUCCCUUCUUCCUUUCUAGCUGUUCAGCUCAUCAUCUUUUCCUAGGUUAUCUUUUUCUAGGUCAUCAACCUGACCUCUACAUGUUGGAUUGCCCUCUGACUUGAUCCUUGGACCUCUGUUACAUCUAUACUUACCCCAUUGUCAGCAAAACCUGAAUCCUCAUCCAGGAGCAUGGCAUGAAAUGUCAUUUUUAUUCUGAUGACUCCCAAAUGUAUAUCUCUAGCCUGAAAUCUUAACAUUUAUAUGUGAUACAUAAACUGACAUUUCAAAUUUAACAUGUAUAACAUUGACCUUGUAACUCCUAUACAAAGCUGUUCCUUUCCCAGUUUUUUUCAUUUCGAUUAAUGAUAAUUCUAUACUUUUAUUUGCUCAGAUCUAAAAUCUUGGUGUCAUCCUUGAUAUUUUACUUUAUUUCACAUCCCACAUCCCCUGUGUUAGCAAAACCUAUAGACUCAGCCUUCAAAUUAUAGUUGCUUCACCCUCUCCACUCUCAUGAUUAACCACCAUCAGUCCUAGGCCAGCAUUCUGCAAUAAUAUAACUAUCACUCCAGUGCUUAUCUUUCUCCUCUUUAACUUAUUCUUAAGAGAGUAGUCUACAGGAUUUAUGUUAAAAAUUAGGUCAGAUGAUGUCACUCUUGAGCUCAACAUCAUGUAAUGGUUUCUACUCUUCCUCAGAGUAAAAGCCAAAGUCCUUUCUAUGUUAAUCGAGGGCCUACAUGAUAUAUAUCCCUUCCCUGCCAUGUUAUUCUGUGACCUUAUAUACCGCACUCUCAUUCCACUCCCAACCAGAGUAGCUUCUUCAUUCUUUCUUGAAGUUGUCAGGCAAGCUCCCAUCUCAGGGCCUUUCACCCUCUGCCUGGAAUCCUCUUCUCCCAAAUAGCUUUAUGGCUCACUUCCUCAUUUUCUAGAAGUUUCUAUACAAAUAUUACCUUCUCAGUGAUGCUUUUUCUGGCAACUCAUUUUAAAUUUUUUAUUCUGUCCCUCAAAUUAAAACAUAGGAAAUAUGUGAAGAGAUACUAGUGUUUGGUGUGUUUUAUUUAUUUUUUUAUUGUGUGUUUUCCAUACAUGGUUCAUACAACAUGUUUUUUCGAACUAAGCAAUGUGUCCUGAGGAGCUAUGUAUACAAAUUUAUCCAAUUGUGUAUCAUUCUUUUUAACUGCUACAUAGUAUUCUAUAGUGUGGAUACACCAAAGUUUUCUAGUUCUUCCACUAUUAAUGGACAUUUACAUUUUUUCCAUUUUAAGUUAUUACAAAGGUGAUUUGAAACUCCUGUGCAUGCAUGUUUGAGUUUGUACUUAUUAUUCUUACAAAUAAUGAGAAAUCAAAUUUCAAAGUCAUGGACUAUGCAUGUUUUUGUGGUUAAUAAUUUUACCAAACUACCAAUUACACUGUCAACAGCAGUGUAGGAGAGAUCCUAUACCUCUCCAACCAUAUCAACAGCGCUGCUUUCAGAUUUUGUAACUUUCUACUACUCUGAUGGGUUAAAAGCAAUGGUGUGUAUUAUCUUUUUUUAAAUUUGAACUUGUGUUAUUGCUUGUUCAUCUUUUAAUCUGUUACUGAUCAUUUGUACUGCCUAUUCUAUGAAGCAAUUUCUGUGAAUUGCUUCUUGUGAGUUUUGCCCACUUUUGAAUUUGGUUGUUUUAUUUUUUAUGAUUUAUAGUAAUAAUUUGCAUAUUAUUGAUACUAAUCCUCUGAGAUAUAUAUUGCAAAUAUUGUCCUAUGAUCUUACACUUGUUUUACAAAUUUAUGCUAUUUUCCAUAUAAAUAAAUUUAAUGUAGUCAUACAUAUGAUU
This is a long non-coding RNA of Equus caballus (horse), 7970 nucleotides long. Lineage: Eukaryota; Metazoa; Chordata; Mammalia; Perissodactyla; Equidae. The record is from Ensembl.